GGUGGGACGGAGGGAGUAUGCGACAAAACGAUGAUAACGCCUUGGAUGAUUUAGGAGCUACAAGAAUACAACUAUAGAAGAUGUCAGUGAGUCGGAGAGAAAACAAAUUACCAGAUCACUAGCGAGGGAAAGGGAAAAAUAGAAGACCCGCAUGCAUGUACGAAGAGAAUGAAUUGGAUUGCUUCUCUUGUGUAAAUUAUAAAAGAAAG
This 209-nucleotide long non-coding RNA is filed under the name Daucus carota (carrot). RNAcentral describes it as "long non-coding RNA (DCAR_LNC003685)". Lineage: Eukaryota; Viridiplantae; Streptophyta; Magnoliopsida; Apiales; Apiaceae. The record is from RNAcentral.